CGGGGUAACGGCCCACCAAGGCUACGAUCGGUAGGGGUUCUGAGAGGAAGGCCCCCCACAAUGGGACUGAGACACGGCCCAUACUCCUACGGGAGGCAGCAGUGAGGAAUAUUGGUCAAUGGGCGGAAGCCUGAACCAGCCAUGCCGCGUGCGGGAAGGAGGCCCUAUGGGCUGUGAACCGCUUUUGCCUGGGGGCAAUAAGGGCGUCGCGCACGUCCGAUGAGAGUACCAGGCGAAUAAGCAUCGGCUAACUCCGUGCCAGCAGCCGCGGUAAUACGGGGGAUGCGAGCGUUAUCCGGAUUCAUUGGGUUUAAAGGGUGCGUAGGCUGUGCGUCAAGUCGGGGGUGAAAUUCCGGUGCUCAACACCGGGGCUGCCCUUGAUACUGUCGCGCUGGAGUGCGGAUGCCGCCGGAGGAAUGAGUGGUGUAGCGGUGAAAUGCUUAGAUAUCACUCAGAACACCGAUUGCGAAGGCAUCUGGCGAAUCCGUAACUGACGCUGAGGCACGAAAGCGUGGGGAUAGAACAGGAUUAGAUACCCUGGUAUUCCACGCCGUAAACGAUGAUGGCUAACCGCCGGCGACACACUGUCGGUGGCCAAG
Molecule: ribosomal RNA, 599 nt
Filed under: uncultured bacterium
Lineage: Bacteria
Description: bacterial SSU rRNA
Rfam family: Bacterial small subunit ribosomal RNA
Source: RNAcentral